GUGUGUAGGUUGUAUAUUAAGUCUGUUGUUAAAUCUUUUGGCUUAACCAAAAAAUCGCGAUGGAAACUGGUAUGCUAGAGGGUGAGAGAGAGGAGUGGAAUUCUCGGAGUAGCGGUAAAAUGCGUAGAUAUCGAGAGGAACACCGAUGGCGAAAGCAGCUCCUUGGCUCAUUCCUGACAUUGAAACACGAAAGCGUGGGGAGCAAACAGGAUUAGAUACCCUGGUAGUCCACGCCGUAAACGAUGAUCACUAGACGUCAGUUUGGCUUUGCCGAAUUGGUGUCGUAGCUAACGCGUUAAGUGAUCCGCCUGGGGAGUACGAUCGCAAGAUUAAAACUUAAAGGAAUUGACGGGGGUCCGCACAAGCGGUGGAACAUGUGGUUUAAUUCGACACUACGCGAGGAACCUUACCUGGGCUUGACAUGUUUUUGAUCGCUAUAGAAAUAUAGUUUUCUAGGCUUCGGUUUAGACAAUUUCACAGGUGCUGCAUGGCUGUCGUCAGCUCGUGUCGUGAGACGUUAGGUUAAGUCCUCUAACGAGCGCAACCCUUGCCAUCAGUU
RNAcentral lists this ribosomal RNA (559 nucleotides) under uncultured bacterium. RNAcentral describes it as "bacterial SSU rRNA". It matches the Rfam family "Bacterial small subunit ribosomal RNA", at positions 567 to 1116 of the family's 1533-position model. The record is from RNAcentral.